Molecule: ribosomal RNA, 501 nt
Filed under: uncultured bacterium
Lineage: Bacteria
Description: partial 16S ribosomal RNA
Rfam family: Bacterial small subunit ribosomal RNA
Source: RNAcentral
AUUGAACGCUGGCGGCAGGCUUAACACAUGCAAGUCGAGCGGGGGAAGGUAGCUUGCUACCGGACCUAGCGGCGGACGGGUGAGUAAUGCUUAGGAAUCUGCCUAUUAGUGGGGGACAACAUCUCGACAGGGAUGCUAAUACCGCAUACGUCCUACGGGAGAAAGCAGGGGAUCUUCGGACCUUGCGCUAAUAGACGAGCCUCAGUCGGAUUAGCUAGUUGGUGGGGUAAAGGCCUACCAAGGCGACGAUCUGUAGCGGGUCUGAGAGGAUGCUCCGCCACACUGGGACUGAGACACGGCCCAGACUACUACGGGAGGCAGCAGUGGGGAAUAUUGGACAAUGGGGGGAACCCUGAUCCAGCCAUGCCGCGUGUGUGAAGAAGGCCUUAUGGUCGUAAAGCACUUUAAGCGAGGAGGAGGCUACCCUAGUUAAUACCUAGGGAUAGUGGACGUUACUCGCAGAAUAAGCACCAGCUAACUCUGUGCCAGCCGCCGCGGUAA